Molecule: ribosomal RNA, 462 nt
Filed under: uncultured bacterium
Lineage: Bacteria
Description: partial 16S ribosomal RNA
Rfam family: Bacterial small subunit ribosomal RNA
Source: RNAcentral
AGUGAACGCUGGCGGCGUGCCUAAUACAUGCAAGUCGAACGGAGAUUAAGUAGCUUGCUAUUUAAUCUUAGUGGCGCACGGGUGAGUAAUAUAUAGCUAACUUGCCCAUUACUAAGGGACAACAGUUGGAAACGACUGCUAAUACCUUAUACUCCGUAUCUAUAUAAGUAGAUACGGGAAAGUUUUUCGGUAAUGGAUAGGGCUAUAUCGUAUCAGCUAGUUGGUAAGGUAAUGGCUUACCAAGGCUAUGACGCGUAACUGGUCUGAGAGGAUGAUCAGUCACACUGGAACUGGGACACGGUCCAGACUCCUACGGGAGGCAGCAGUAGGGAAUAUUGCUCAAUGGGGGAAACCCUGAAGCAGCAACGCCGCGUGGAGGAUGACACUUUUCGGAGCGUAAACUCCUUUUCUUGGGAAAGAAUUAUGACGGUACCCAAGGAAUAAGCACCGGCUAACUCCGUG